UUCUCUUUGAUUCAGAGUAAAAUCAAGUUCUUUACCUAUGGAGGAGGUAGAUACUGAUGGAGUGGAUGACAAGGUGUUCUCUAGAUUCUGCAUCAUCUCCAUAUUCUGCAUCAUUAGUGAGCAACUUACCUAGGGAGGAGGUAGAUACUGACAGAGUGUAUGAGCAGGUAGUUCUCCAAGUUUCUUUAUACUACCAGCCCACUCUAUAUUUGACUAUGCUCUAAUAUGUCAAAUCAUGAAAUGAUAUGAAUAAUUAAAUAUUAGCAGAUGGACAAAACGUGUAUUGAUGGUCUGAUGUACCAAGUGUUUUUAUCCACAGUGAAUAAAAUAGAGGAGUGGCCUGUUCACCGGAGCAAGCGAGGAAGAUAGCUCAGCCCGACCACCAACGUCCACUCACCGGUUUCUU
Molecule: long non-coding RNA, 406 nt
Filed under: Triticum aestivum (bread wheat)
Lineage: Eukaryota; Viridiplantae; Streptophyta; Magnoliopsida; Poales; Poaceae
Description: long non-coding RNA (TAES_LNC027689)
Source: RNAcentral